This 234-nucleotide ribosomal RNA is filed under the name uncultured bacterium. Its description in RNAcentral is "partial 16S ribosomal RNA". It matches the Rfam family "Bacterial small subunit ribosomal RNA", at positions 1267 to 1500 of the family's 1533-position model. The record is from RNAcentral.
GCAAAUCUCUUAAAGCCGUUCUCAGUUCGGAUUGUAGGCUGCAACUCGCCUACAUGAAGUCGGAAUCGCUAGUAAUCGCGGAUCAGCAUGCCGCGGUGAAUACGUUCCCGGGCCUUGUACACACCGCCCGCCACACCAUGAGAGUUUGUAACACCCAAAGCCGGUGGGGUAACCUUUUGGAGCCAGCCGUCUAAGGUGGGACAGAUGAUUGGGGUGAAGUCGUAACAAGGUAAC